UACGUAGGCAGCACGCGUUGUUCGGAAUUACUGGGCGUAAAGAGUGUGUAGGCGGUGCUCUAAGUUUGGUGUGAAAUCUCCCGGCUCAACUGGGAGGGUGCGCCGAAAACUGGAAUGCUUGAACGUGGGAGAGGAAAGCGGAAUUCCUGGUGUAGCGGUGAAAUGCGUAGAUAUCAGGAGGAACACCUGCGGUGUAGACGGCUUUCUGGACCAUUGUUGACGCUGAGACACGAAAGCGUGGGUAGCAAACAGG
This 253-nucleotide ribosomal RNA is filed under the name uncultured bacterium. RNAcentral's name for it is "partial 16S ribosomal RNA". It matches the Rfam family "Bacterial small subunit ribosomal RNA", at positions 524 to 776 of the family's 1533-position model. The record is from RNAcentral.